UACGUAGGGGCCUAGCGUUGUCCGGAAUUAUUGGGCGUAAAGAGCUCGUAGGCGGUUUGUCGCGUCUGCCGUGAAAGUCCGGGGCUCAACUCCGGAUCUGCGGUGGGUACGGGCAGACUAGAGUGAUGUAGGGGGAGACUGGAAUUCCUGGUGUAGCGGUGAAAUGCGCAGAUAUCAGGAGGAACACCGAUGGCGAAGGCAGGUCUCUGGGCAUUACUGACGCUGAGGCACGAAAGCGUGGGGAGCAACAGG
Molecule: ribosomal RNA, 252 nt
Filed under: uncultured bacterium
Lineage: Bacteria
Description: partial 16S ribosomal RNA
Rfam family: Bacterial small subunit ribosomal RNA
Source: RNAcentral